AAUGGGACGAUUUAGCCAUGCUAGUCGCACGAGUUCAGACUCGUGGCGAAUAGCUCAGUAACACGUGGCCAAACUACCCUUCGGAACACAAUACCCUCGGGAAACUGAGGCUAAUAGUGUAUACCAUACCACCACUGGAAUGAGUGGUAUGCCAAACGCUCCGGCGCCGAAGGAUGUGGCUGCGGCCGAUUAGGUAGACGGUGGGGUAACGGCCCACCGUGCCAAUAAUCGGUAUGGGUCAUGAGAGUGAGAACCCAGAGACGGAAUCUGAGACAAGAUUCCGGGCCCUACGGGGCGCAGCAGGCGCGAAACCUUUACACUGCACGACAGUGCGAUAGGGGGAUCCCAAGUGCACAGGCAUAGCGCCUGUGCUUUUCGGUACCGUAAGGUGGUACCAGAAUAAGGGCUGGGCAAGACCGGUGCCAGCCGCCGCGGUAAUACCGGCAGCCCAAGUGAUGGCCGAUCUUAUUGGGCCUAAAGCGUCCGUAGCUGGCCGCGCAAGUCCAUCGGGAAAUCCACCUGCUCAACAGGUGGGCGCCCGGUAGAAACUGCGUGGCUUGGGACCGGAAGGCGCGACGGGUACGUCCGGGGUAGGAGUGAAAUCCCGUAAUCCUGGACGGACCGCCGAUGGCGAAAGCACGUCGCGAGGACGGAUCCGACAGUGAGGGACGAAAGCCAGGGUCUCGAACCGGAUUAGAUA
Molecule: ribosomal RNA, 700 nt
Filed under: Halorubrum sp. S2LM2
Lineage: Archaea; Methanobacteriati; Methanobacteriota; Halobacteria; Halobacteriales; Haloferacaceae
Description: bacterial SSU rRNA
Rfam family: Archaeal small subunit ribosomal RNA
Source: RNAcentral